CAUCCAGACUCCUACGGGAGGCAGCAGUGGGGGAUAUUGCACAAUGGGGGGAACCCUGAUGCAGCGACGCCGCGUGGGCGAGGGAGCGCCUCGGCGCGUAAAGCCCUUUCGGCGGGGGAGAACGAUGACGGUACCCGACGAAGAAGCACCGGCUAACUACGUGCCAGCAGCCGCGGUAAUACGUAGGUGGCAAGCGUUGUCCGGAUUUACUGGGUGUAAAGGGCGUGUAGCCGGGCUGACAAGUCAGAUGUGAAAUCCGGGGGCUCAACCCCCGAACUGCAUUUGAAACUGUUGGUCUUGAGUAUCGGAGAGGCAGGCGGAAUUCCUAGUGUAGCGGUGAAAUGCGUAGAUAUUAGGAGGAACACCAGUGGCGAAGGCGGCCUGCUGGACGACAACUGACGGUGAGGCGCGAAAGCGUGGGGAGCAAACAGGAUUAGAUACCCCGGUAGAU
This 451-nucleotide ribosomal RNA is filed under the name uncultured bacterium. Its description in RNAcentral is "bacterial SSU rRNA". It matches the Rfam family "Bacterial small subunit ribosomal RNA", at positions 328 to 795 of the family's 1533-position model. The record is from RNAcentral.